AGCUUGGCAAGUGUCCUCAUCAUCGGUACUGCUGACUCUGUCCUCCUGAAGAAUAUCUUGCAGGUGAAGAAAUUCGGCAGCGCUCAGUGGCUCAUCUGCCUGAUCGUCGGUGUCAUCAUCCAGAGCAGAGGACGGCCCAGGCUGGAAUCCCAGAACUUUGAAAAGCCAGUUUUCUUCAUCCUCGAAUUCUGGCAAGUCCAUUGCACUGCAUUCUGCUUCAGAGGUCUUGGGGCUUUGCUUUUCAGACAUAGCUCCGGGAUUCGGCUUCCCUAUCCUCUAAGGGCAUGGAAAAAAACUGGAGUCUGACUUUUCUCUCUGCUGGGGUGA
This 327-nucleotide small RNA is filed under the name Mus musculus (house mouse). Its description in RNAcentral is "testes specific x-linked transcript i". The record is from RNAcentral. Lineage: Eukaryota; Metazoa; Chordata; Mammalia; Rodentia; Muridae.